RNAcentral lists this long non-coding RNA (1187 nucleotides) under Gallus gallus (chicken). RNAcentral describes it as "lncRNA (ENSGALG00010014981.1)". Lineage: Eukaryota; Metazoa; Chordata; Aves; Galliformes; Phasianidae. The record is from RNAcentral.
GUGAGGUGCUGGAACAGGUUGUCCAGACAAGUUGUAGAUGCCUCAUCCCUGGAGGUGUUCAAUUUGAUGAAGGAUGAGGCCCUGAGCAAACAGAUGCAGUAACUGUUACAGCAGAGGGCAACCCUGCCUGUGGCAGGGGAGUUGGAAUAUGAUGAUCUUUGAGGUCCAUUGCAAACCAAGCCAUUUUAUGAUACAACAAGGAAAAUGCAUUACAGUUAUAUAAACAAAAUCACAGGUGUAAUGGAAAGAGCUAGGUGGUGUACUCUAUUGCAAGGAGAGCCAGACAGUGCCAUGUAUUCCAAAGAGAUCCAGUUGGUGCGGUAUACUCCAAAGAGAGCCAGGUGUCUGUGUUGGGGACCUAAAGGCCCCUGACUGAAGAAUGAUCCUAGGAUGGAACAAAGUAUUCUGACAGUUUUAAGUGAAGUGGUAUUUGUGGCUCUAGCCACAAAUAUGACUGUGCGUAUGUUGAAUAAAACCCAUAACCCUGUGCUGCUCUAAGUGCAUAAUUUGCUUGCCUCUGCUCCUGAGACAUCCUGUCUCUCAGAUCCAGUUGUACCUUGAAACAGCGGCAUGGUAUAUUCCAAAGAGAGCCAGGCGGUGUGGUAUAUUCCAAAGAGAGCCAGGCAGCUUGGUGUUUUCCAAAAGGAGGCAGGCAGCAUGGUAUAUUUAUUUCAUAAAAGAGGCAGGUGGUGCAAUAUAUUCCAUAAAUGAGGCAGGUGGCAUAGUAUGUUCCAUAGAAGAGGCAGGUAGCACAGUACAUUCCAUAAAAGAGGCAGGUGGCGUGGUAUGUUCCAUAAAAGAGGCAGGUGGUGUGGUAUAUUCCAGGAGGAGGAAGACGACACAGUAUUUUCCAAAAAAAGACACAGGCAGUGUAGUAUAUUCCAAAUAAGAGGCAGGUGUCUUAGUAUAUUCCAAAGAAGAUGCAGACAGCAUAGUAUAUUCCAGAGAAGAUGCAGGCAGUGUCACAGAUUCCAAGAAGAGGCAAGCAGAGCAGUAUAUUCCAAAAAAAAAAGAGGCAGGCAGUGCAAUAGAUUGCAAAAAAGAGGCAGGCAGCCUAGUAGGUUCCAAGAGCCAGGUAGCAUAGUAGUUUCUAAGAAGAGCCAGGUGUUGUAGUAGAUUCCAAGAAGAGGCAGACAGCAUAGUAGGUUACAAGGAGAGGCAGGCAGCAUAGUAGAUUCUCAGAAGAG